AUGCCGGUAUGAGUAGCGAAAGACAGGUGAGAAUCCUGUCCACCGUAUGACUAAGGUUUCCUGGGGAAGGCUCGUCCGCCCAGGGUUAGUCGGGACCUAAGCCGAGGCCGAUAGGCGUAGGCGAUGGACAACAGGUUGAUAUUCCUGUACCAGUUGUUUUUGUUUGAGCAAUGGAGGGACGCAGUAGGCUAAGGAAUGCAUGCGAUUGGAAGUGCAUGUCCAAGCAAUGAGUCUUGAGUAGAGUUAAAUGCUUUACUCUCUAAGGACAAGUUGUGACGGGGAGCGAAAUAAUAGUAGCGAAGUUCCUGAUGUCACACUGCCAAGAAAAGCUUCUAGUGAGAAAACAACUGCCCGUACCGUAAACCGACACAGGUAGUCGAGGAGAGUAUCCUAAGGUGAGCGAGCGAACUCUCGUUAAGGAACUCGGCAAAAUGACCCCGUAAC
RNAcentral lists this ribosomal RNA (444 nucleotides) under Enterococcus faecalis. Its description in RNAcentral is "partial 23S ribosomal RNA". It matches the Rfam family "Bacterial large subunit ribosomal RNA", at positions 1294 to 1734 of the family's 2925-position model. The record is from RNAcentral. Lineage: Bacteria; Bacillati; Bacillota; Bacilli; Lactobacillales; Enterococcaceae.